GGCCGGCUGGAAGCGGCGGGUGCGGGAGGAACCCAGGCUUCCACAGUCCGCAGCCAGCCCCGCAGCGGGGAAGCCUGUAGGUGGCUGUGACGGUCCGGCCCCUAAGUCAUGCUCGCCUACUGGUGCGCUCCCUUCCCACGCUGUCUCGGAGCCAACUCAUCUUCCUCCGCCUCCCCAAGCCUCAGCCAAAAAGCUCAAGGACUGAGCCGCGCUUCACUUUCCACACCUGUGUGCUGCUUUCCGAGCGCUUUCCAGAAACUCUCCUCUACGGUGCAAACCCCACGUUUUACAGGUGAAGGAGCCAAGACCCAGAGAGUUUCAGGAUCUGACCCUUGCCAAGCAGCGGUACAAAAAUACGAAUGGACAAGGGGGAAUGUGGCCCUAAAUAUUGUCAGCGACUGCAGACCCAGAAGAUGAUUGGCAACCCAACUUCAAGUCUUAGGUGACAAGUCUUCGGGCAUGGUCAGCAACGUACUUAAAGGGCCCCUCCCCUUGACUGACUGACUUUAAUUGUUUUCUCAGCCUCACAGUUUGGCUGCCCUAUCCUUUCCUCUUCUGUUGCAUCUUCCUCGACUUAUGAUGGGGUACCUCUGGAUAUGGUUAUCAUUAUAUUUUUCAUCUUUGAUCUCCCGCUCUUCCUUCCGGAUCCUCACAGCAUGGUAUCGGGGAACGCUAUCAUCGUACCUAGAGCGCUUAAAGAAUCCGCACUGACAAAGGGGAAAGAGAAGCAGAAAUAAAUUAAGUAUCUCAAGAAAAGCUAAUGCACAAAAUGGGAGCGUCUAAGCUUUCUGUUCAGCUACGCCUACCUUUGGAUAAAGGGAAAAAAAGACAUGGGAUAAACAGAAGAGAAGACAGCUGUAAAACUGGAAGAAAAGUCCAUUAUUUCCAUUCUGUCUUUACUAACAAAGUUGAGUUAUAGAAAAAUGCUUCCAUUUUUUAUAAUCACAAUACUAUAUGUUAAAGAUCUAAUUUUCACAUUAAAAAGACUGCUCUUUAAAAUGAUAUUCUAACAAAGGCCAUAAACCUAACAAAGGCCAUAAACCAAAGAUUAUUUUUACCUCUCUCCCACUAACAGAAUGGAAUCAGAUCACAAAUAUUUUACAAAUUACUAUCUAAAUAUGCCAGUGUUCAAAUGGGUCAGUGUUCAAAUGGGUCAAUUUAAGAAUCUUCUCUUCUCCAAGGCUCAGCACAUAUCUCUCAUUAGCUACCAGGCAAUUUACACUGCCUGGAUUUCCUGUUGUGCUUUCAACUUAAGCUGUUUCAUUCAUAAAUCAUGUAGUAACUGUGUCCUUAAUAAAAUCGGUCAUGUACCGCAAAGAACUCGAGUAGGACAGUAGCACUACACUGAAUUUUCAAGCACCCCUAAUUUUUUUUUGGGCAAAAGAAAUUUACACUUAGGUUAUUAAUGAAUAUAUAUUUUAUUCAUUUUUUAAAAAAUAUUCAAUCUGAUCCAAGGUAGAUUUUUAUUGAGAACAUAUUAGGGAAUUUUUUUUUUUUAACUCAAAUUGAAUUUUUAAAAUGAAUAAAAUAUGUUUAAUGAAAAAGGUGUGUUUUCAAUUUAAAAAUGCAGAUAGAGGGAGGAUGAGGAAGAUAGUUGGAAGGGUCAAUUUGUAUCAUGUAACAGGACUGGAACAUUUAUUUUGAAUGAUGUUAUAAGAUGUCAUGGGGCAAAGCUAUAUCCAGUCAUCACUAAGUCAAUUGGAAAAAAUGACCAAGACAUUUUGUUCUAAGGCCAUGUCUACAUGGACUCCUUAAUUAUUCUGUGCAAAAAGCCAAAAUACCUAUCAAUUACAAAA
This is a long non-coding RNA of Hyaena hyaena (striped hyena), 1796 nucleotides long. RefSeq lists it as uncharacterized. The transcript has 2 exons. The record is from RefSeq and is a predicted model, not a curated record. NCBI's taxonomy places the organism in Eukaryota, Metazoa, Chordata, Mammalia, Carnivora, Hyaenidae.